RNAcentral lists this ribosomal RNA (497 nucleotides) under uncultured bacterium. Its description in RNAcentral is "partial 16S ribosomal RNA". It matches the Rfam family "Bacterial small subunit ribosomal RNA", at positions 28 to 507 of the family's 1533-position model. The record is from RNAcentral.
GAUGAACGCUGGCGGCGUGCCUAAUACAUGCAAGUCGAGCGAACAGACGAGGAGCUUGCUCCUCUGACGUUAGCGGCGGACGGGUGAGUAACACGUGGAUAACCUACCUAUAAGACUGGGAUAACUUCGGGAAACCGGAGCUAAUACCGGAUAAUAUAUUGAACCGCAUGGUUCAAUAGUGAAAGACGGUUUUGCUGUCACUUAUAGAUGGAUCCGCGCCGCAUUAGCUAGUUGGUAAGGUAACAGCUUACCAAGGCAACGAUGCGUAGCCGACCUGAGAGGGUGAUCGGCCACACUGGAACUGAGACACGGUCCGGACUCCUACGGGAGGCAGCAGUAGGGAAUCUUCCGCAAUGGGCGAAAGCCUGACGGAGCAACGCCGCGUGAGUGAUGAAGGUCUUCGGAUCGUAAAACUCUGUUAUUAGGGAAGAACAAAUGUGUAAGUAACUAUGCACGUCUUGACGGUACCUAAUCAGAAAGCCACGGCUAACUACGUG